AGUGAACGCUGGCGGUAGGCCUAACACAUGCAAGUCGAACGGCAGCACAGUAAGAGCUUGCUCUUACGGGUGGCGAGUGGCGGACGGGUGAGGAAUACAUCGGAAUCUACUUUUUCGUGGGGGAUAACGUAGGGAAACUUACGCUAAUACCGCAUACGACCUACGGGUGAAAGCAGGGGAUCUUCGGACCUUGCGCGAUUGAAUGAGCCGAUGUCGGAUUAGCUAGUUGGCAGGGUAAAGGCCCACCAAGGCGACGAUCCGUAGCUGGUCUGGGAGGAUGAUCAGCCACACUGGAACUGAGACACGGUCCAGACUCCUACGGGAGGCAGCAGUGGGGAAUAUUGGACAAUGGGCGCAAGCCUGAUGCAGCCAUACCGCGUGGGUGAAGAAGGCCUUCGGGUUGUAAAGCCCUUUUGUUGGGAAAGAAAAGCAGCAGGUUAAUACCCCGCUGUUCUGACGGUACCCAAAGAAUAAGCACCGGCUAACUUCGUG
RNAcentral lists this ribosomal RNA (492 nucleotides) under uncultured bacterium. Its description in RNAcentral is "partial 16S ribosomal RNA". It matches the Rfam family "Bacterial small subunit ribosomal RNA", at positions 29 to 507 of the family's 1533-position model. The record is from RNAcentral.